RNAcentral lists this ribosomal RNA (270 nucleotides) under uncultured archaeon. RNAcentral's name for it is "partial 16S ribosomal RNA". It matches the Rfam family "Archaeal small subunit ribosomal RNA", at positions 477 to 747 of the family's 1478-position model. The record is from RNAcentral.
CAGCCCCUCGAGUGGUGGGGAUGAUUAUUUGGCCUAAAGCGUCCGUAGCCGGCCGAGCAAGUCUUCCGUUAAAUCCAGCGUCUCAAGCGUUUGACCGCGGGAGAUACUACACGGCUAGAGAGUGGGAGAGGUCAGCGGUAUUCUGGGGGUAGGGGCGAAAUCCUUUGAUCCCGGGAGGACCACCAGUGGCGAAGGCUGCUGACUAGAACACGUCUGACGGUCAGGGACGAAAGCUGGGGUAGCGAACCGGAUUAGAUACCCGAGUAGUCC